GGGGCUGAUUCUGGAUUCGACGGGAUUCACGAACUCUUAGGUGCAUGCCGAGGUGCGGUAGGCCUCGUAAAAAAACCGCAAAAAACUAGUC
This 91-nucleotide transfer-messenger RNA is filed under the name Gammaproteobacteria bacterium. Its description in RNAcentral is "partial transfer-messenger RNA". It matches the Rfam family "transfer-messenger RNA", at positions 1 to 92 of the family's 374-position model. Rfam says of the family: Bacterial tmRNA, also known as 10Sa RNA or SsrA, is named for its dual tRNA and mRNA-like properties. Its role is to liberate the mRNA from a stalled ribosome. The record is from RNAcentral. Lineage: Bacteria; Pseudomonadati; Pseudomonadota; Gammaproteobacteria.